RNAcentral lists this ribosomal RNA (253 nucleotides) under uncultured prokaryote. RNAcentral describes it as "partial 16S ribosomal RNA". It matches the Rfam family "Bacterial small subunit ribosomal RNA", at positions 524 to 776 of the family's 1533-position model. The record is from RNAcentral.
UACGUAGGGUGCGAGCGUUAAUCGGAAUUACUGGGCGUAAAGUGUGCGCAGGCGGCCGAGCAAGUCGAGUGUGAAAGCCCCGAGCUUAACUUGGGAACUGCGCUCGAAACUACUUGGCUAGAGUGUGGCAGAGGGAGGUGGAAUUCCACGUGUAGCGGUGAAAUGCGUAGAUAUCAGGAGGAACACCGGUGGCGAAGGCGCUCAUCUGGCCCGAUACUGACGCUGAUGCGCGAAAGCUAGGGGAGCAAACGGG